Molecule: long non-coding RNA, 228 nt
Filed under: Linum usitatissimum (flax)
Lineage: Eukaryota; Viridiplantae; Streptophyta; Magnoliopsida; Malpighiales; Linaceae
Description: long non-coding RNA (LUSI_LNC000317)
Source: RNAcentral
UCUUGUCUUUCUUUGAGUUUAGUUUUAUAACAAUUCCUAAAUUAAUCUUGAUUUAUAUGCAAUUUGAUAUAUUAUCUCUUAAACCGUUUACAAACCGAGUCGAGCCGAACUUUAUUUUAUUCAAGUUUGGUUCGCUAUUUUCCUUACGGAUUAAAAGUGGAAACAGAAGACAAAUAUUCUAAUUAGAAAUAAUUAAAAGAGAAGAAGAAAUUACAUACUUGUCAUUAC